UUGGCUAAAGCCAAAACUUAGAGGCAUACCACUGUUAAUGGUAAAACUGAAAAUUUCUUUCUAGCCAAG
Molecule: transfer RNA, 69 nt
Filed under: Mierspenaeopsis hardwickii
Lineage: Eukaryota; Metazoa; Arthropoda; Malacostraca; Decapoda; Penaeidae
Description: tRNA-Asn
Source: RNAcentral